GGAGGAAUAUUGGUCAAUGGCCGGAAGGCUGAACCAGCCAAGUAGCGUGCAGGAUGACUGCCUUAUGGGUUGUAAACUGCUUUUUUACGGGAAUAAUUAUGAUCACGUGUGAUUAUUUGCAUGUACCGUAAGAAUAAGGAUCGGCUAACUCCGUGCCAGCAGCCGCGGUAAUACGGAGGAUCCUAGUGUUAUCCGGAUUUAUUGGGUUUAAAGGGAGCGUAGGCGGGAGGUCAAGUCAGCUGUGAAAUGUAUCUGCUUAACGGGUACACUGCAGUUGAAACUGGUUUUCUUGAGUGCGUAAGAGGCAGGCGGAAUUCGUUGUGUAGCGGUGAAAUGCUUAGAUAUGACGAGGAACUCCUAUUGCGAAGGCAGCUUGCUGGAUCGUUACUGACGCUGAUGC
RNAcentral lists this ribosomal RNA (400 nucleotides) under uncultured bacterium. RNAcentral's name for it is "bacterial SSU rRNA". It matches the Rfam family "Bacterial small subunit ribosomal RNA", at positions 355 to 752 of the family's 1533-position model. The record is from RNAcentral.